UACAGAGGGGGCAAGCGUUGUUCGGAAUUACUGGGCGUAAAGGGCGCGUAGGCGGCCCGCUAAGUCGAACGUGAAAUCCCCGAGCUCAACUCGGGAACUGCGUCCGAUACUGGCAGGCUUGAAUCCGGGAGAGGGAUGCGGAAUUCCAGGUGUAGCGGUGAAAUGCGUAGAUAUCUGGAGGAACACCGGUGGCGAAGGCGGCAUCCUGGACCGGCAUUGACGCUGAGGCGCGAAAGCCAGGGGAGCAAACGGG
This 253-nucleotide ribosomal RNA is filed under the name uncultured bacterium. Its description in RNAcentral is "partial 16S ribosomal RNA". It matches the Rfam family "Bacterial small subunit ribosomal RNA", at positions 524 to 776 of the family's 1533-position model. The record is from RNAcentral.